This 468-nucleotide ribosomal RNA is filed under the name uncultured bacterium. RNAcentral describes it as "partial 16S ribosomal RNA". It matches the Rfam family "Bacterial small subunit ribosomal RNA", at positions 28 to 507 of the family's 1533-position model. The record is from RNAcentral.
GACGAACGCUGGCGGCGUGCUUAACACAUGCAAGUCGAACGGAAAGGCCCUGCUUUUGUGGGGUGCUCGAGUGGCGAACGGGUGAGUAACACGUGAGUAACCUGCCCUUGACUUUGGGAUAACUUCAGGAAACUGGGGCUAAUACCGGAUAGGAGCUCCUGCUGCAUGGUGGGGGUUGGAAAGUUUCGGCGGUUGGGGAUGGACUCGCGGCUUAUCAGCUUGUUGGUGGGGUAGUGGCUUACCAAGGCUUUGACGGGUAGCCGGCCUGAGAGGGUGACCGGCCAAAAUGGGACCUAGAUUCCGCCCCGACUUCUACCGGAGGCAGCCGUGGGGAAUAUUGCACAAUGGGCGGAAGCCUGAUGCAGCAACGCCGCGUGCGGGAUGACGGCCUUCGGGUUGUAAACCGCUUUCGCCUGUGACGAAGCGUGAGUGACGGUAAUGGGUAAAGAAGCACCGGCUAACUACGUG